This 210-nucleotide long non-coding RNA is filed under the name Elaeis guineensis (African oil palm). RNAcentral's name for it is "long non-coding RNA (EGUI_LNC036713)". The record is from RNAcentral. Lineage: Eukaryota; Viridiplantae; Streptophyta; Magnoliopsida; Arecales; Arecaceae.
CCUGCCACCCUUUCUAUCCACCCUUUCUUCAAUUUCUGGCGUCUAUCUGCUAUUGUCAUUCAUCACUCCUUUCAUUCUCGAUGUUCAUUCAUUCAUUCCCAACAUCUCUUUUCAAUUAUCAUUUGCCCGUUCAUUCAUUUUCUUGGGCAAAGUAGUGUCCUUCUCCCUGCAUCCAUUGGUCCGAUCGAGCACACUCCCAUUUGAGCGGCU